Molecule: transfer RNA, 95 nt
Organism: Dethiosulfovibrio peptidovorans DSM 11002
Lineage: Bacteria; Thermotogati; Synergistota; Synergistia; Synergistales; Dethiosulfovibrionaceae
Rfam family: Selenocysteine transfer RNA
Source: Rfam
GGAAGCGAAUGUGUCCUGGUGGGCGCCCCGGGCUUCAAACCCGCGCGGGAGGCGGUAUAGGCCGUCUCCGGUGAGUUCGAUUCUCACACGCUUCC